UAACAAAUCCUAAUUCUAAUAGAAUACUAACAAUGCUCUAAUUAGAUUAUAAUAAUGAUAAACAAAUGUAAUCAAAUUCAAAACAACUCAAAGAAAUUUCAAAAAAACAAUAAAAUUCUUAAAGAAAUAUUAGAAUGAUGACAAAUGUUACUCAAAUAUAUGUCAAUUCAACCUUAAUUUAAUUCUAGUUAAAACCCUAUUGAAUUUCACUCAAACUUUAGACCAAACCUAAUUAAAUCUUAAACUCUAAUAAAUCCUAAAUCCUAAGUUAAAUCCUAAAUAAACCUUAAAUUAAACCGUAAAUCAAACUCUAUUUAAAAUCCUAAACCCUAAACCAAACCUUAAAUCAAAUCCUAAUCCAAAUCCUAAAUCAAAUCCUAACCAAACCCUAAACCCUAAUCCAAAUUCUAAUCCAAACCCUAAAUCAAAUCCUAAUCAAAUCCUAAAUCCUAACUCAAACCCUAAUCCAAUCCUAAACCCUAACCAAACCCUAAAUCCUAAUCCAAUCCUAAACUCUAAAUCAAACCCUAAAUCGAACCCUAGCCAAACCUUAAUCCAAAUCCUAGUAAUUCCUAUGACAGAUUUAAAUCUCAAUAUCUAAUGAAUAAAUCGUUGAUCUCAAUUCAAAAUUUACAUACUUCUUAAAAAUCAAGUUUAAAAUAAGCACAAAAAAAUUUGAAAAGGAUCGGAGUUACCAAAUUGACGAAAACCUCAAAAAUAUAUUCGGGUGUUAGCCGGCCUCCUUCUCCAAUCUUGAUGCCAACCUUUCAAAGCCAAUUUCUCUUCUUUGCACCGUUCGAUUGGUUUCAAAUUUCUCAUGGACAUAGAAAAACAAGUCUAAUACCCUCUCACACAAGUUUUACUCCAAUCCAACUAGUAGAUUGCAUGAAAUCUUAAAAAUCCUCACUGGACCUAAAAUUCUACUUUUUGAGACCUUGACUCACUUAAACCUCAAUAUCUCUCACUUCAACCAUUAGAUCGAGCUCAAAUUCACAACAUAUAUUUAAUAAAACUAUAAUCAUGAACCCAAAAAUUUCACCCAUAGAUCUGCAACAAAACUCUCAAAAUCACUCAAAACAUAAACCCUAUUUUAUUUCAUAAAACCCAAGUCAUCCGAAACAAACCUCCCCUUUGCAAAGCUCUUACAAAGUCAUAUCAACUUCAAAUCACCCAAAAUC
RNAcentral lists this long non-coding RNA (1178 nucleotides) under Physcomitrium patens. Its description in RNAcentral is "long non-coding RNA (PPAT_LNC005311)". Lineage: Eukaryota; Viridiplantae; Streptophyta; Bryopsida; Funariales; Funariaceae. The record is from RNAcentral.